Molecule: long non-coding RNA, 420 nt
Organism: Cotesia glomerata
Lineage: Eukaryota; Metazoa; Arthropoda; Insecta; Hymenoptera; Braconidae
Exons: 2
Source: RefSeq, a predicted model, not a curated record
UCGGAUAAGGCUCCAUUUAUUGUAGCAAUUGACGUAGCAGCUCGUGAACUAGGUUGUAGUGGUCAAAGUUGUUGAAGACACAGUCGUGAUUUCUAUUGGAGAAUUUGUGGUCUAUAAUAUGAUUGCUGUAGCGAUUGAAACUUUCUGCACCAUCAUUAGUAUUAGCCGGAGCAUUAAAAACACUCACUUUAUCAGCAUUAGACAGCCAAGUAUCUUUGAAAUAAUCGAAAUAAAUAAGUAUAUUUGAAUCUGUGUGCUUCACAUUAUUUAUUUCUUUAUGAAUAAUUUUUUCUGCUUCAGGAAACAAUGAAGGAGGCAACAGAGGCACAUUCAUCAUUAAAGAUAAAAUGUACUGGGGAGUUUUUAAUUUAUGAAGUUGCCAAUUCCUAAUUAGAGCCUACAAUUAAAAUUACAUAAAAA